This 638-nucleotide non-coding RNA is filed under the name Pan troglodytes (chimpanzee). The record is from RNAcentral. Lineage: Eukaryota; Metazoa; Chordata; Mammalia; Primates; Hominidae.
AAGCUGCGAAGAUGGCGGAGUAAGGCGUGCCGCUGUAAACUGGCCUCUGGGCCGGGGGCGAGCAGCCCCCGGGAGGCCGAGUGCAUCUGUUGGACCGUGCGAGGAGAAGAAAAAAAAGAUCGGCCAGAGGAGAGGAACUAACCGAACAUUCUUCCUCCCUACCUUAUAGAGGGGAGUGGUCAUCUACACUAAAGCAAAGUGUCAGGCGCGUCCGUGCCAAGAGACCACCAAACAGGCUUUGUGUUCCUUAUCACAGGAAGAAAAUUUUCCUUGACCUUUAGGUGCUUUUAUAUUCAUCUCAAAAACAAAAUUCUGAACUCAGGACUUGGCAAAGUUUUGCUCUUGUCGCCCAGGCUGAAGUGCAAUGGCGCAAUCUCGGCUCACUGCAACCUCCGCCUCCCGGGUUCAAGCGAUUCUCCUGCCUCAGCCUCCUGAGAAGCUGACAUUAUAGGCACCUGCCACCACGCCCAGCUAAUUUUUGUAUUUUUAGUAGAGAUGGGGUUUCACCAUAUUGGGCAGGCUCGUCUUGAACUCCUGACCUCGUGAUCCGCCCUCCUUAGCCUCCCAAAGUGCUGAGAUUGGAGGUGUGAGCCACCGCGCCUGGCCAGUGUGUCCUUUCUUGACAGUGACAUUAUAUC